Molecule: ribosomal RNA, 2078 nt
Filed under: Scutigera coleoptrata (house centipede)
Lineage: Eukaryota; Metazoa; Arthropoda; Chilopoda; Scutigeromorpha; Scutigeridae
Description: eukaryotic LSU rRNA
Rfam family: Eukaryotic large subunit ribosomal RNA
Source: RNAcentral
UCUAAGGCUAAAUACUUCCACGAGACCGAUAGCAAACAAGUACCGUGAGGGAAAGUUGCAAAGAACUUUGAAGAGAGAGUUCAAGAGUACGUGAAACCGCUCGUAGGUAAACGGGUGGGCCCUCGAAGGCAAGCAGGAGGGGAUUCAACCCGUUGGCAAUCGACCGUGCGCCGCGGUUUUUCUCGAAACGGAUCCGAGAGACCGGCCCGUGGCGCCGCGGUCGUCAGCGGGCGCACUUCCCCUUCUCGCGUCCCGUCCUUCUGGGCGGGACCGAACGCCGCGACCGGUCGGGAGAAACGACGGCGGCCAAGCGGCGAGAUUGGGCAGGUAUCCUACUCGUCCUUUCUGUUUUUCCCUUCGGGGUUGGCAGGAUUGCUUGUAGGAGAGCUUUCAGCCCGUCUCGACCCGGCUCCGCCGCCCGACCGUGGUCUAGAACCGAGGUUCGACAACCGCGCAUGCGCUUUGACGCUCGAGCCCGUCCCGCACGUAGGGUUUUCUGGCCGCCGAUAGAUCCAUAAAACCUCCCCCCCGCUCACGGCGGUUACACGAAGCGGUCGCCCUGCGUUGUGUACCCCUUUAGGACGUGUGCUCUCGUUUUUUGUUCCAAAAAAAGCAGCGCUUGUGGUCGGCGGCGAGUAGGUCGGUAACCCACCCGACCCGUCUUGAAACACGGACCAAGGAGUCUAACAUGUGUGCGAGUCGUAGGGUUCGUCCGAAACCCGAAGGCGCAGUGAAAGUAGAGGUCGGCUCUAUGCUCGGCCGAGGCAGGAUCCGUCGUUCUCUUUCCUUUUACCCGGGCACAUUCCCCUAACUCCGGUUAGGGUGUGUGUUUUUUUGGUCUGUAACUGGAAGUCGGCGGCGCACUGCCGGCCCGUCUCGACCGCCACGUCGGUGAGGCGGAGCAAGAGCACACACGUUGGGACCCGAAAGAUGGUGAACUAUUCCUAGGCAGGACGAAGCCAGAGGAAACUCUGGUGGAGGUCCGUAGCGUUUCUGACGUGCAAAUCGAUCGUCAGACCUGGGUAUAGGGGCGAAAGACUAAUCGAACCAUCUAGUAGCUGGUUCCCUCCGAAGUUUCCCUCAGGAUAGCUGGCUCUCGAGACACACAGUCUCAUCCGGUAAAGCGAAUGAUUAGAGGCCUUGGGGCCGAAACGACCUCAACCUAUUCUCAAACUUUCAAUGGGUGAGAAGUCCGGCUUGCUCGACUGAAGCCCGGACGAUAACGGAUGCGAGUGCCCAGUGGGCCACUUUUGGUAAGCAGAACUGGCGCUGUGGGAUGAACCAAACGCCGGGUUACGGCGCCAAAUGCGACGCUCAUCAGACACCAUGAAAGGUGUUGGUUGCUAUAGACAGCAGGACGGUGGCCAUGGAAGUCGGAAUCCGCUAAGGAGUGUGUAACAACUCACCUGCCGAAGCAACUAGCCCUGAAAAUGGAUGGCGCUCAAGCGUCGAGCCUAUACCCGGCCGCCGGGGCAGAGCCCGUCCAAACGGCCCCAGAAGCCCCGGCGAGUAGGAGGGUCGCGGCGGUGAGCGGAAAAGGGUCGGGCGCAGGCCCGCCUGGAGCCUCCGCCGGUGCAGAUCUUGGUGGUAGUAGCAAAUACUCGAGUGAGAACCUUGAGGACUGAUGUGGAGAAGGGUUCCAUGUGAACAGCAGUUGAACAUGGGUCAGUCGGCCCUAAGGAAUAGGGAAAUCCCGUUCCGAACGGGGGGUUGGUACAUAAACAAAAAUUUUCCAAAAGAAAACCCCCGCCCAGACCGAAAGGGAAUCGGGUUAAUAUUCCCGAACCCGGACACGGAGAUCGGGCCCUUUGUGGUCCAGUGCGGUGACGCAAACAUCCUCGGAAACGUCGACGGGAGUUCCGGGAAGAGUUGUCUUUUCUUUGUAAGGGACGGAAUCCCUGGAAUCGGUUCGCCCGGAGAUAGGGAUGUGGUUUCCGUAAAGCACCGCGCCUCCUGCGGUGUCCGGACAGCUCUCGUCGGCCCUUGAAAAUCCGAGGAAGGUAGUGCGAUUUUCGUGCCGGGCCGUACCCAUAUCCGCAGCAGGUCUCCAAGGUGAACAGCCUCUAGUCGAUAGAUCA